GAUGAACGCUAGCGGCAGGCUUAACACAUGCAAGUCGAGGGGUAUUGGUUUUCGGACCAAGAGACCGGCGCACGGGUGCGUAACGCGUAUGCAAUCUACCUUUUGCAGAGGGAUAGCCCCAGAGAAAUUUGGAUUAAUACCUCAUAGUAUAGUACUUUGGCAUCAAGGAACUAUUAAAGUCACAACGGCAAAAGAUGAGCAUGCGUCCCAUUAGCUAGUUGGUAAGGUAACGGCUUACCAAGGCUACGAUGGGUAGGGGUCCUGAGAGGGAGAUCCCCCCACACUGGUACUGAGACACGGACCAGACUCCUACGGGAGGCUGCAGUGAGGAAUAUUGGACAAUGGGCGCAAGCCUGAUCCAGCCAUGCCGCGUGCAGGAUGACGGUCCUAUGGAUUGUAAACUGCUUUUAUACAGGAAGAAACACUCCGACGUGUCGGAGCUUGACGGUACUGUAAGAAUAAGGAUCGGCUAACUCCGUGCCAGCAGCCGCGGUAAAG
RNAcentral lists this ribosomal RNA (498 nucleotides) under uncultured bacterium. Its description in RNAcentral is "bacterial SSU rRNA". It matches the Rfam family "Bacterial small subunit ribosomal RNA", at positions 28 to 525 of the family's 1533-position model. The record is from RNAcentral.